Long non-coding RNA from Cyprinus carpio carpio, 1432 nucleotides. NCBI's taxonomy places the organism in Eukaryota, Metazoa, Chordata, Actinopteri, Cypriniformes, Cyprinidae. The record is from Ensembl.
UAGCUGUGUCCCAAACUUAAGUGCAUGGACUCCGAAGUGCGCAUUUGAAGUGCGAAUGCGUCACAGUGGCGCGACGAAGGGUGUCCCAAACUGAAGUGUGUGAACUCCGAAGUGCGGAUGUGAAGUGCGAUUGCGUCACAGCGUCACGACGUAAGCUGUCCCAAAGUCAGAAUGCGCACUUCGAAGACCGCAUUUGAAGUGCGAAUGCGUCACCGCGGCGCGACGAAGGCUGACGAAUUUCGAAAGCGACUUCAAAUGCGCCCUUCAUUUCCCAGGAAAAUGAAGUGUACAUCUUAUGGACACUUCGCACCCUUCCAUAUCCCAGAAUAACUUGCGUGCAUAUGACGAAUGUGUUUAUAUUCAGAGGCAGGUGAGAGUUCUGUGGAGGACUUCACAUUGAAAUGCAAGGUUUAUUUGUGAAGUGUCCUGAGACAGGUGAGGGAGCGAGUGGACAGAGGACAUCAAACUCAAACAAAUACAUUCUUCAUUAGCCAAGAGAAAAAAAUAAGUACAUUACAGUUUUUCCAAUAUAUUUUUUAAAUGUCAUAUUGUCAAUGAAACAACCUAAUUUCUGUAGUUUAUUUUUGUGAUGCAAGUUAAAAAUGAAAUGCAUAAAUUGUAUACAUUAUUCAUUUUUUGUGUGUAAUUUAUUCGUAAAUAAGCCUGAGUACUUUCUGUACAUUUUGUAUUUUUGUUUUGCAUAUUCACAUGUGUAAAUAAAAAGUGCUUAUGUACAUUAAUUUUUUUUAAUGCAGCUUAUAUUUUUUUUCACAAAACAUUCUUUUAUAUGUUUAUUUGUUUGUCCUGUAAAUACUUUUUUACACAUUAAAACAAAUUGUUCUAUACAUAAUAGAAAGUACUUUUUACAACCAUUUACAACAUAUCUUAGGUUUAACAUCAGUAAACAGCAUCAGUUUGAGCCCGGCCCUGUCUCCGUGUGUUCUGGGGUCUUCAGGAGGUCAAUCUCUUGGUGAAUGGCCAGCACCUCCUCAGAGACUCGGAGGACAGUGUGGUGACAGUGGUAGAGGCACAUGUCAAACACUCUGGAGACCAUCUGUAUGAUGUACUGCUGGCAGACAGAAGAGAAACACCAGGGUCUGGAUCAUGACACACCAUCCAUGUUGCCGUUCACUUCCCAGUAGAUCCAGCAGCACAGUCAGGGUCUCCCUGCUCAGAACAAAACCAUUAAACACCUGUCCAGCGCUGCCACAUUCAGCUUUAUCCUGCACAGGGGUCUGGUCUGAUUUAGGGAAAGAAGGAAAAGAGAAAUCGUUUAGAGCUAUGAGAACAUAAUUAGUACAAGAAAUAUUGACAUACUUUAGUAAACUACUUUUAGUAACUACCAAUACCACAUUGGGGAAAAACUACUACUCAUAUUUACAACUUUAGCUGAAGGGAUAGUUCACCCAAAAAUAUAAAUUCCAAACCUGGA